GACGAACGCUGGCGGCGUGCUUAACACAUGCAAGUCGAACGGAAAGGCCCUGCUUUUGUGGGGUGCUCGAGUGGCGAACGGGUGAGUAACACGUGAGUAACCUGCCCUUGACUUUGGGAUAACUUCAGGAGACUGGGGCUAAUACCGGAUAGAAGCUCCUGCUGCAUGGUGGGGGUUGGAAAGUUUCGGCGGUUGGGGAUGGACUCGCGGCUUAUCAGCUUGUUGGUGGGGUAGUGGCUUACCAAGGCUUUGACGGGUAGCCGGCCUGAGAGGGUGACCGGCCACAUUGGGACUGAGAUACGCACCAGACUGCUACGGGAGGCAGCAGGGGGGAAUAUUGCACAAUGGGCGGAAGCCUGAGGCAGCAACGCCGCGUGCGGGAUGACGGCCUUCGGGUUGUAAACCGCUUUCGCCUGUGACGAAGCGUGAGUGACGGUAAUGGGUAAAGAAGCACCGGCUAACUACGUG
This 468-nucleotide ribosomal RNA is filed under the name uncultured bacterium. Its description in RNAcentral is "partial 16S ribosomal RNA". It matches the Rfam family "Bacterial small subunit ribosomal RNA", at positions 28 to 507 of the family's 1533-position model. The record is from RNAcentral.